GGGGGGGGGGGGGGGGGGGGGGGGGGGGGGGGGGGGGGGGGGGGGGGGGGGGGGGGGGGGGGGAGGGCGGGGGGCGGGGGCGGGGCGGGGGUGGGACGUGGCGUUGUCGGGGGGAUAGCCUUUCGGGAGGGAGGUGAAUACCCCAUCAUGUAUUGAGUGGCAUCAUUUGAUAUUGAAAACUCCGGUGGAUAGAGGUGGGCACGCGCAAGAUUAGAUAGUUGGUGAGGUAACGGCUCACCAAGUCAAUGAUCUUUAGGGGGCCUGAGAGGGUGAUCCCCCACACUGGUACUGAGACACGGACCAGACGCCUACGGGAGGCAGCAGUGAGGAAUAUUGAACAAUGGGUUAGCGCCUGAUCCAGCCAUCCCGCGUGAAGGACGACGGCCCUAUGGGUUGUAAACUUCUUUUGUAUAGGGAUAAACCUACUCUCGUGAGAGUAGCUGAAGGUACUAUACGAAUAAGCACCGGCUAACUCCGUG
RNAcentral lists this ribosomal RNA (479 nucleotides) under uncultured bacterium. RNAcentral's name for it is "partial 16S ribosomal RNA". The stretch from base 59 to 479 matches the Rfam family "Bacterial small subunit ribosomal RNA", at positions 39 to 507 of the family's 1533-position model. The record is from RNAcentral.